UGGAAGCUUUAGCCUAAGUUCUGCCAGGAAGACUCAAUCACUUCGUCACUAAUUACCUUCAUCAUUAUCCAAUCACGUCUUUAUACUCCUGUAUAAAAGAUCGUACUUACACAUGUUUGAGUUCGCAGAUGCCAACGCGACAACAACCGCAGAUUCCGACGCGAUUGUACUUGCUCAAGCUGUUGUGUUUAUUCAUCUACUUGCUGUAAUUAAGUUCGUGCCCCGCAAACUAUCUAGAGUUUGACGUUCCUCUAAGAUGCACACGGGAUCGUUGGCUUAGCUCCGUGUCGCGGUGAUUAUCUGAAGUCGUUUGUGUUGGAUGAUUUACAAGCUUUUCUCGGCAGCGGAUGUGAACAUUGGCGGAGUUCCGUGUGCUUUCAGGCCAGGGUUGCCAGGUUCUCAAAACCGCCAGUUACUACUAUUAAAAAAAAAAAAAAAAAAAAAAAAAAAAUAGCCCAAUCGCGUUCAAAAGGGAUUUAUCGGUAGAAUUCACAUUCUAGGGGCUAUAUAUAACACUAUUGGGGUCACCUCAAACCCAGGACUGAAAAGGCAUCCCACAAAAAAAAAAAAAAAAUACGGUCUUGGCAACGCUGGUGCUUUCCGAGAUGUCGCGUCAGUGCUGCUUGGGUCUCAACACCUGAAAAGACUUUGGUCUCAAUCAACAAAUAUUCAUCUGUACGCUCACGUGAACCUGCACGAAUGAAGUCUCUCCGGACCAGCAGACAGAAUUAAGGCUGCCGGUCUCUUCGGCAUCUCGCCUCCAUCACUUCACAAGUCUACAGCAUUAUAAGUAUCAUUUCGUUCUAUGCACUUGCGGCGCCUGGGCAUUAAUUUAUUCUCUGCAAGGAUUUAUACUUACACGUUCAAAUAAAGCACUGGGCGUUUCGUGCUUGUUUAUCUAGCAGACUUGCACAGCAUAAUUAAGAUGUUGAUCAUAGUGCAUGCAAUUUUCUGAAUAACUUCUUCGUAAUGAGGCACUUUAAGGCUUAUCAUAAACGCUACAAUCUUUAUACUGAUAAAGCUUUUUCGCAUUUCUUAUUUAAAAAAAAAAAAAAAAAAAAAAAAAAGCUCUGUCUAGCACACUUGAGAUUCGCUGUUUUAAUCCUAUGCUUUAAUAUUUGUUUAUUCAGUCUUUCAUUUGCGUUAUUCCUGAAAAGUUCAUACUCUAAUGGGAUUCUAUGGUUGCAGAUGCAGGGAACCGCUGCUCUCACCUCAUCUUUACAUGGCUUACUUUGGGCUAGCGAAUUAUGAACACUGGAUCUACCAAGCUGAUGCGUAUGGACCCUUCUUUUGAGUCGUAGGUAAGAUUCGGCUCAAUGCUCAGUCAGCAGGCAUAUAUUACUCCACGUGACACGAGUUGCUGCUGACCUUAUUUCAGAGUAGUGGCAUAUCUCCAGUUUAAACCGAAUAUUAAUUAGCAGGCAUGGUUUGUUUGCACUCCUGGUCUCCGUCUCAAGGCGCGGUCUCACUAGACUUUAAACAUGCGAAAUUAUUUCGAACGCCACUGCGAAUAUGGGCGGGAGCAAGAUAAACAGUCUCCCCUCAAUUCACAAGAUGGAUUAUUAUGUUUCUAGCACUGUGUCUUUUGCAACGGCGUCGAAAGCGUUUUAUAUUGUAACGUUACUCUGUAUCUCUCUAUAAAUAUAUACACCCUAAGGGGAGGAGGGGGAGAAGAGAGAGAAAAAAAAAAAAAAAAAAAAAAAACCAACAUUCUAAAACGUUGUAAUUCCAAUGUAUCACCUGUUCCCGUCGACACUACAAACCAUGCAGCUUCUUUCUUUUAUAAAUCUGUUAAUGUAAUAUAAAAUAGGACGCUGCGCAACAGCUAAAGUUAUAUAGCGCUUCCUUUUUGAAUUUUUGUACAGCGAGGUCAUGCAGCAAUGUAUCGCUCUUCUACUGGUCCACAUCCUCACGUUAUGUCAAAUUCCCUGGUCAGUUCACCAAACUUGAACUUUGGAACGCAGCGAAAUGCAAAAUUUUUCGCAUAAGCUUGCGUUUCCGGUCCGACGCAUUCGCAUGCGUAUGAAUGGAAGUCAAUGGAGAGAAAAGUGCAGUGUGACCGCCCAUCACUCAUAACUAACUAACGGCUGUUUAAUUGUUUACAUCAAGAUUAGCAAUGUGUGCUAAUAAGCUUAAGUCCCUUAGAUUUAUGCGUAUUUUAAACUUAACCUCCGAUACCUCAACUUAAUAUUAUAAUAAAAAAAAAAAAAAAAAAAUUGGGGCGUGACAGUUAAGGGGUUAAGCUACAAUCAAGGCUUGUUUAUAUUCGCGCAUCUACUGGUGUUGGUUCAUCACUCUUACUCGGCUGUUGCGGCUUUCACUUUACACUUUUAAACUUUCAGACAGCUGUGCCCUCAGCCAACCCGGAUUCUUCAGUCUGCCUCCGUUAGCAGACAUAAUACUAAACGAAGUGCUUACGUCAGCUGGAAAUCACAUUUCUAAGGCGUUGCUCCCUCUACAAUCAAGCCUACACGUUUGCAUGGUCCGCUUCUAAUGUUUUUCCUUCCAAUUUUUGCGUUCCUAUUCUAAUUUCAACCGUUGCUCCCUUCUUGUUUAAAUAAAAAAAAAAAAAAAAAAAAAAAAACGCAAUCUUAAUUUCUCUAUUCGCAGACUCCUUGCCAGCAUCUAAUCCACGCUAAAUUUUAUAAUCAAAUUUUCAAGCCUUUUGGUUAUUCAGUUCUAUUACUACUUGAGGGGGUUAGCUAAAUCUUCCAACAAAUUAAAGACAAAUGUCUGCCUAUUACCCUGCCCAUAUUGCAAAAUGAAUUACUUCCAUCUGCUACGGCCUUCCUUCAAAGUACCUCAAUAUUCUUCUGGAGGCAGUGUUUAUCUGCUUUCUACAGGUUAUGCUUCCAGGGGAAUUCACUUCAAACCAAUCAAUUUGAUCCUGCUCGUGGCAUUUCCUUCAGAUCUAUGAUUCGGACCAAAAAUUCUUCACACUCUCCUCAAGCACUCAAAAACCAAUGUGCAAGGUUCUGGAGUCACCUUAACAAUUCUAAAAUCAAUAAUCCUGUCCCUUCUCUGCAUGGUGAAAUUUCUUAAAAAUCCGACCUAGAAUUUCUAAAACGCACCAGCUCUAUUUUCCUAACGGAGCCCCCUUUCCAAGGCUGUUUAGAACUCACUUAACCACUGUUCUCAAAGCUGCAGUCUCUCUACUGGCCAUUCAUUCAGAAUUGGGGCAGCUACUUCAGCAGCUGAAUGAGGGAUCUCUACAUCAGCUGUUAAGAUCAUGGGCAGAUGGUCUUCCUAAGCAUUUGAAUCAUACAUCAGACCUGAUUCAAAACCAUUAUUGAAGCUCAGCAAGCUCUCCUGUAACUAAUCAGGAACCUUAGGAUUCACAACUGGUGGGUAUACUUCAUCUACUUUUUGGGGGGAAGGCUGGCCCCGUCUGGAGGUCUCAUAAUCCACCUAAUUUUGGGGGUCUGCUGCGCCCCUGCCUUCGUCUUCAGGCAGGAAAUGCAGAUUCGCUACCCUCGGAUUACGAACCAUGGACGGGGCCUUCCGCCAAAGAAAUUUAUAAUUGUGCUCGCUGAGCUGUCAAUAAAUGUAUGCUUCGUACAUUCCUCUAUCUCCCGAGUCUUUCUGGUAGAAAUGGAAGCUUUAGCCUAAGUUCUGCCAGGAAGACUCAAUCACUUCGUCACUAAUUACCUUCAUCAUUAUCCAAUCACGUCUUUAUACUCCUGUAUAAAAGAUCGUACUUACACAUGUUUGAGUUCGCAGAUGCCAACGCGACAACAACCUCCACCCUCCCCACCACCACCAGGAUGGUCCUGUCCUUACCUUCCAGGGGGGGUCUGCUGCGCCCCUGCCUUCGUCUUCAGGCAGGAAAUGCAGAUUCGCUACCCUCGGAUUACGAACCAUGGACGGGGCCUUCCGCCAAAGAAAUUUAUAAUUGUGCUCGCUGAGCUGUCAAUAAAUGUAUGCUUCGUACA
Molecule: long non-coding RNA, 3932 nt
Organism: Carassius gibelio (silver crucian carp)
Lineage: Eukaryota; Metazoa; Chordata; Actinopteri; Cypriniformes; Cyprinidae
Exons: 2
Source: RefSeq, a predicted model, not a curated record